This 449-nucleotide ribosomal RNA is filed under the name uncultured bacterium. Its description in RNAcentral is "partial 16S ribosomal RNA". It matches the Rfam family "Bacterial small subunit ribosomal RNA", at positions 29 to 523 of the family's 1533-position model. The record is from RNAcentral.
AACGAACGCUGGCGGCAUGCCUAACACAUGCAAGUCGAACGAGACCUUCGGGUCUAGUGGCGCACGGGUGCGUAACGCGUGGGAAUCUGCCCUUGGGUUCGGAAUAACAGUUAGAAAUGACUGCUAAUACAGGAUGAUGUCUUCGGACCAAAGAUUUAUCGCCCAAGGAUGAGCCCGCGUAGGAUUAGCUAGUUGGUGAGGUAAAGGCUCACCAAGGCGACGAUCCUUAGCUGGUCUGAGAGGAUGAUCAGCCACACUGGGACUGUGACACGGCCCAGACUCCUACGGGAGGCAGCAGUGGGGAAUAUUGGACAAUGGGCGAAAGCCUGAUCCAGCAAUGCCGCGUGAGUGAUGAAGGCCCUAGGGUUGUAAAGCUCUUUUACCCGGGAUGAUAAUGACAGUACCGGGAGAAUAAGCCCCGGCUAACUCCGUGCCAGCCGCCGCAGUAA